UGUGCCAGCCGCCGCGGUAAUACGUAGGCUGCGAGCGUUGUCCGGAAUUAUUGGGCGUAAAGAGCUUGUAGGCGGUUUGUCGCGUCUGCUGUGAAAGCCCGGGGCUUAACCCCGGGUCUGCAGUGGGUACGGGCAGGCUAGAGUGUGGUAGGGGAGACUGGAAUUCCUGGUGUAGCGGUGGAAUGCGCAGAUAUCAGGAGGAACACCGAUGGCGAAGGCAGGUCUCUGGGCCACUACUGACGCUGAGAAGCGAAAGCGUGGGGAGCGAACA
Molecule: ribosomal RNA, 271 nt
Filed under: uncultured Actinomycetales bacterium
Lineage: Bacteria; Bacillati; Actinomycetota; Actinomycetes; Actinomycetales
Description: partial 16S ribosomal RNA
Rfam family: Bacterial small subunit ribosomal RNA
Source: RNAcentral